RNAcentral lists this ribosomal RNA (197 nucleotides) under uncultured bacterium. RNAcentral describes it as "partial 16S ribosomal RNA". It matches the Rfam family "Bacterial small subunit ribosomal RNA", at positions 1306 to 1500 of the family's 1533-position model. The record is from RNAcentral.
UGCAACUCGACUGCGUGAAGGUGGAGUCGCUAGUAAUCGCGGAUCAGCAACGCCGCGGUGAAUGCGUUCCCGGGCCUUGUACACACCGCCCGUCAAGUCAUGAAAGUGGGCAGCACCCGAAGACGGUGGCCUAACCCUUGUGGGGGGAGCCGUCUAAGGUGAGGCUCGUGAUUGGGACUAAGUCGUAACAAGGUAGC